Molecule: ribosomal RNA, 372 nt
Filed under: Triticum aestivum (bread wheat)
Lineage: Eukaryota; Viridiplantae; Streptophyta; Magnoliopsida; Poales; Poaceae
Description: partial small subunit ribosomal RNA
Source: RNAcentral
AUGAGGAGCGGCGGCGACGUCAAAUCCUUCUUCCGGCAGCAGAAGGCCCACUCCGGCGCGGCGGCCGCCACCAAGCCCGCCGGCGGCGUCUCCAAGAAGGCGGCGCACCACCACCAGAAGCAAGCGGCGGCGGCGGCGCAUCUCCUCCGCCCGAUACGAGAUCACCGCGACGGCGCUGACGCGGCGAGGAGGGAGGAGGAGGAGGACGCGGAGAGGACGGCCCGGUAGUUCGACAUGGACACGCGCUACGGGCCCUGCCUCGGCCUCACCCGCGCCCAGCGCUGGCAACGCGCCGCCGCGCUCGGCCUCGCCCCGCCGCCGCACGCGCCCUGCUCCGACCACCAGCCGUGCCUCUGGGAAGGCCGCGUCUAG